Molecule: ribosomal RNA, 119 nt
Filed under: Oncorhynchus mykiss (rainbow trout)
Lineage: Eukaryota; Metazoa; Chordata; Actinopteri; Salmoniformes; Salmonidae
Source: RNAcentral
GCUUACGGCCACACCGGCCUGAGUACGCCUGAUCUCGUCCGAUCUCGGAAGCUAAGCAGGGUCGGGCCUGGUUAGUACUUGGAUGGGAGCCCGCCUGGGAAUACCAGGUGCUGUAAGCU